CCGCCGCCGCCGCCAGCCGGCCCCGGCCGACGGCGGGAUCAGCGUCGCCCCCCGCGCCCCGCGGUGAAGGGCGUAUCCGGCUAGGGAACAACAGAAGGCCUGCUGUUUCUUUAUUAAAGAGGGAUUUGACCAGCAAUAUUAUGAAGUUUUCAUUUGACACUUUUGCUGUUGUUUGCUAAGCAUUUUUUUUUGGCUGAAGAAUGAAGGUUGGGUCCAGCAGUCACGAUGCCAACAUGCAUAUAUGUCUAAUUGUCUACAUUGCAAUUCAGAGGCUACUCCUAAAAGUCAGAUCUUUCAGAAUUUUUUAAAUAAAAGCCAGACCUUUCUAGAUCGCAGUGAAAAGAAAAAAAUGGAAAAAUAAAAGGAAUAAAAGAAAAUAGGCAGACAAGUUCAGGAGAAACUUACUGGCAGGAGCAUAUGUUUAUGUUCAGAGAAGCAAGAUCUUGGGUUGCUUUGCUCCGUGCUUACCGAAAAUCUGGUUGACUUUAUAGUGUUUCCGAAAGCAAUACUCUGCAUCUGGAGUAGCCAGGUGGCCAGGUGGGAUCGUCUGUGGAGAUGAUACGAUAAGCAGUUAUCUGUGGCAACAAAUUGCAAGGAGACAACGAUCAAUCAGCUGUCCCCUCCAUCUGCCCACACGUUGUACUGGACAAGCGUGAGGUGAGCGUGGAGCCGUGGACCAUGGAGGACCCGACCAAUACUACAAAAAUAACAACGACAGGUCAAGCAUGCAUAUCCCUUUCCCUUAGCUAUAUAUCGAUCUUGUGAUUCAUAUUGAAAGUUUAGUGGAUAUUCGGACUGUUUAUCGAUAAUGAUGAUGAUGACUUGAUCUCAAUGACCUUUCGAUUGUUCUGCACUUCAAGCAAGUACUGUACUUGAUUGGCUCUGUCUCUAAAUAAACAAAUAAUCCACGUAGAAAAAACUCGUGGUGUAGGAAAAU
This is a long non-coding RNA of Oryza brachyantha (malo sina), 937 nucleotides long. RefSeq lists it as uncharacterized. Lineage: Eukaryota; Viridiplantae; Streptophyta; Magnoliopsida; Poales; Poaceae. The transcript is spliced from 6 exons. The record is from RefSeq and is a predicted model, not a curated record.